This 497-nucleotide ribosomal RNA is filed under the name uncultured bacterium. RNAcentral's name for it is "partial 16S ribosomal RNA". It matches the Rfam family "Bacterial small subunit ribosomal RNA", at positions 28 to 507 of the family's 1533-position model. The record is from RNAcentral.
GAUGAACGCUGGCGGCGUGCCUAAUACAUGCAAGUCGAGCGAACGGACGAGAAGCUUGCUUUUCUGAUGUUAGCGGCGGACGGGUGAGUAACACGUGGAUAACCUACCUAUAAGACUGGGAUAACUUCGGGAAACCGGAGCUAAUACCGGAUAAUAUUUUGAACCGCAUGGUUCAAAAGUGAAAGACGGUCUUGCUGUCACUUAUAGAUGGAUCCGCGCUGCAUUAGCUAGUUGGUAAGGUAACGGCUUACCAAGGCAACGAUGCAUAGCCGACCUGAGAGGGUGAUCGGCCAAACUGGAACUGAGACACGGUCCAGACUCCUAAGGGAGGCAGCAGUAGGGAAUCUUCCGCAAUGGGCGAAAGCCUGACGGAGCAACGCCGCGUGAGUGAUGAAGGUCUUCGGAUCGUAAAACUCUGUUAUUAGGGAAGAACAUAUGUGUAAGUAACUGUGCACAUCUUGACGGUACCUAAUCAGAAAGCCACGGCUAACUACGUG